This 1044-nucleotide ribosomal RNA is filed under the name Triticum aestivum (bread wheat). Its description in RNAcentral is "partial small subunit ribosomal RNA". Lineage: Eukaryota; Viridiplantae; Streptophyta; Magnoliopsida; Poales; Poaceae. The record is from RNAcentral.
AUGAAGCUUCUUCCGGCCGCCCUCGGCCUCGUCCUCCUCCUCCUGCUCGUUCUGAAUCCCAAUGGCGUGGAGGCCCGGCCAGCCCCGGCCGUCGGCCAUCAGAAGAAGGCCUCGAGCGCUACCUUCUUCGUCUUCGGGGAUGACUUCGCCGACAACGGGAACCUCCCUCUGACCGACCCAGUCACCGAGAUGUCGCGGCAAUGGGCCUACCCCUACGGCUCCAACUACGUCGAUGCCGAUGGGUUUCCGCGGCCUAAUACUCCGUCCGGCCGUUUCUCAAACUACAGAAUUCAGUCGGAUUUCAUCGCAACAAUGCUGGGAUUGGAGGAAGCCCCUCCGGCGCAUGCCCGCACGGCAGAGAAAACCUGUGACCCAUCGGGCAUGACCUUUGCUACCGGUGGUGCAGGCGUGUUGGACAGUACAUUGCACGAGGUCUCCAUCCUUGCCAAGCAGGUCGACACUUUUAAAAAGAUGGUCAAGGACGGGACCAUCACGGAGAAUCAACUGAGUCGCUCUGUAGUGCUCGUGGCCUUCUUCGGUAAUGACUAUGCAGGCAUCGGCGUCAUUGGCCUAAGUAGUCCCAACAAUAUUAAUGCUUAUAUUGGGAAGGUGACAAAAGAGAUUGCAACUAAUGUGGAUCAAUUGUUGAAGCUUGGGGUGACAAAGGUUCUUGUCAAUAACUUGCACCCUAUCGGUUGCAUGCCAUCACACACCCGAACCAACAACUACACCACGUGCGAUAUUUUUGAAAACUUGGGUGCAACCAUCCAUAACGAUAAUCUGAAAAAAGUUAUGACAUCAAAGAAUGUCUAUAUCGUCGAUGUGUACACCGCCUUCACAAAUAUUGUGGAUCAUGUGGCAGGUAAAGGCUCAGAGCUGUCUAAACAAUUCAAGCGCAAACUAUCGCCAUGCUGCGAGAGUUUGGACUCGAAAGGUUACUGCGGACAGCAAGAUGAGUCAUCCUCGAAGCUACUGUACACUGUGUGCGACAAGUCGAACAAAUUCUUCUAUUGGGAUGACAUGCAUCCAACCCAUGCAGGAUAG